This 437-nucleotide ribosomal RNA is filed under the name uncultured Oscillospiraceae bacterium. RNAcentral describes it as "partial 16S ribosomal RNA". It matches the Rfam family "Bacterial small subunit ribosomal RNA", at positions 341 to 792 of the family's 1533-position model. Lineage: Bacteria; Bacillati; Bacillota; Clostridia; Eubacteriales; Oscillospiraceae. The record is from RNAcentral.
ACGGGAGGCAGCAGUGGGGAAUAUUGGGCAAUGGGCGAAAGCCUGACCCAGCAACGCCGCGUGAAGGAAGAAGGUCUUCGGAUUGUAAACUUCUUUUAUGAGGGACGAAGGACGUGACGGUACCUCAUGAAUAAGCCCCGGCUAACUACGUGCCAGCAGCCGCGGUACUACGUAGGUGGCAAGCGUUCUCCGGCUUUACUGGGUGUAAAGGGCGCGUAGGCGGGGAUGCAAGUCAGAUGUGAAAUCCAUGGGCUCAACUCAUGAACUUCAUUUGAAACUGUAUCUCUUGAGUGCUGGAGAGGUAGAUGGAAUUCCUAGUGUAGCGGUGAAAUGCGUAGAUAUUAGGAAGAACACCAGUGGCGAAGGCGAUCUACUGGACAGUAACUGACGCUGAGGCGCGAACGCGUGGGGAGCAAACAGGAUUAGAUACCCUGGUA